Molecule: ribosomal RNA, 253 nt
Filed under: uncultured bacterium
Lineage: Bacteria
Description: partial 16S ribosomal RNA
Rfam family: Bacterial small subunit ribosomal RNA
Source: RNAcentral
UACGAAGGGGGCUAGCGUUGUUCGGAAUUACUGGGCGUAAAGCGCACGUAGGCGGAUAUUUAGGUCAGGGGUGAAAUCCCAGAGCUCAACUCUGGAACUGCCUUUGAUACUGGGUAUCUUGAGUAUGGAAGAGGUAAGUGGAAUUGCGAGUGUAGAGGUGAAAUUCGUAGAUAUUCGCAGGAACACCAGUGGCGAAGGCGGCUUACUGGUCCAUAACUGACGCUGAGGUGCGAAAGCGUGGGGAGCAAACAGG